GUCAAACUAGUACUUGUAAUAUUAAUAAUUGAGAUGGUUAUUUAUUCUGCCGUUAGUAGUGAAUCUAGAAACAUUAUUUUUGAUCAACCUUUGAAUCAAAUAUAUUAUAUUGCAGAAAAGAAUACGCUCAGGAAGGAAGUGUAUUGAUGAUUGCAACAAACAAUAUAGGAAGGGGACAACGGAGAUUAUACGUUGCGUUAAAAAGUGCUAUGAGAGCUAUUUACUAUUUUAUUUUGUGGGUGUUGAAAACUAGUACAUGUAUGACGUAUUUUAUGUGCAUAUUGUGUAACAUCCUCAUUGUAUGUUUAGUUUGUCAUGUUUAAGUUACAACCAACAAAUAACAAGAACAUCAUUAUCCCACUUGAUUUUUUACACAACUGAUAUAUCUAAUAAUUACAUUACACAAACAAGGAACUUUUUAUUUUUGAUAUUGG
Molecule: long non-coding RNA, 434 nt
Filed under: Arachis ipaensis
Lineage: Eukaryota; Viridiplantae; Streptophyta; Magnoliopsida; Fabales; Fabaceae
Description: long non-coding RNA (AIPA_LNC000030)
Source: RNAcentral